GAUGAAGAACGUAGCGAAAUGCGAUACUUGGUGCGAAUUGCAGAAUCCCGUGAACCAUCGAGUCUUUGAACGCAAGUUGCGCCCGAAGCCAUUAGGCCGAGGGCACGCCUGCCUGGGCGUCACACGUCGUUGCCCCCCCAUCUACUCCUUCGGGAUUGCGGGGGGCGGAUGAUGGCCUCCCGUGCGCCUCGUCGCGCGGUUGGCAUAAAUGCCAAGUCCUCGGCGACGCACGCCACGACAAUCGGUGGUUGCGAAACCUCGGUUGCCCGUCGUGUGCGGUCGUCGCGCAUCGAGGGCUCGAAAAAAUUGCCGGGCUCCGGCUCGGCUUUCAACGCGACCCCAGGUCAGGCGGGGUUACCCGCUGAAUUUAAGCAUAUCAAUAAGCGGAGGA
Molecule: unclassified non-coding RNA, 391 nt
Filed under: soil metagenome
Description: partial contains 5.8S ribosomal RNA, internal transcribed spacer 2, and large subunit ribosomal RNA
Rfam family: 5.8S ribosomal RNA (bases 1-122)
Source: RNAcentral